RNAcentral lists this non-coding RNA (100 nucleotides) under Candidatus Omnitrophota. Its description in RNAcentral is "Candidatus Omnitrophica c-di-GMP sequence". It matches the Rfam family "c-di-GMP-I riboswitch aptamer". From Rfam's summary of the family: GEMM was predicted in a large-scale screen for bacterial structured RNA regulatory elements. Genes associated with GEMM are involved in a diverse array of functions, including chemotaxis regulation, signal transduction, secretion and chitin. Lineage: Bacteria; Pseudomonadati. The record is from RNAcentral.
GGCUUAAAAAGGCAAACUAAUCGAAAGAUUGGGACACAAAGUCACAGGCCUAAAGUUUUUCAUUGUAUUUGAUGAAAGAUAUGGCGGCUGGGUUGCUAAA